GAAAAAUCUAAGAUUUGGUGGAUGUCAAAGCCCAGGGGCACAGGCUCAAUAAAAACUCAACAUAAUUCAUAGGAUUACAGAAGUUUCCCCUUCCCCAACUCUCUGCCAUUCAUAAAACCACAUCACUAAAACCUAUUUACCAGAGUUCAGACAAAGCACCAGAACAAGACUGAGAUAUGGCAAAGAGGAUGAAAUAUCAGACUAUAAUAAAACAACUGUGACUAAUAUGCUAAGGGCUCUAAUGGAAAAUAGAGGCAGCAUGCACAAACAGAUAAUGUGAGCACAGAGAUGGAGAUUCUAGAAAAUAAUUUGUUAAAUUCUACAGAUAAAACACACUGUAAUGGAAAAAAAAAUGUCUUUGACAGGCUCAUUACUAGACUAAACACAGCUGAGGAAAGAAUCUGUGAGCUUCUGGAUAAGUUAAUAGAAUUGUUAUAAUCUGGAAAGAGAAAACUGACUGAAACAAUGGAACUGAAUAUCCAAGAACUAUGAGAUAACUACAGCAAUUGUAACAUAUCUGUAAGAGCAAUACCAGAAAGAGAAGGAAGGGAAUGAAGCAGAAGCAAUAUCUGGAGCAAUGAUGACUGAGAAUACCACCCUCCAAUUAAUAUCCAACCAAACCACAGAACCAUGAAGCACACAGAACACCAGCAACAUAAAGGCCUCCCAAAACCUAUAUGUAGGCAUAUCAUAUUCAAACUACAGAAAAUCAAACAUAAAGAAACAAGAGGAAGGGACUGGGAUUGUGGCUCAGUGGUAGAGCAUUCGCCUAGCAUGGGCGGGACCCGGGUUCAAUCCUCAGCACCACGUAAAAAUAAAGGCAUUGUAUUGUGUCCAUCUGUACCUAAAAAAUAAAUAUUAAAAAAAAGAAGCAAGAGGAAGAACAAAACCUUGACAAUAACAAAUAUAAGAAUUAUAAAUGACCCCUCUCUGGCAUUAUGUCCCAAAUAUCUUAUUCACAAGAAAUUCUCUUUAAAUACAAAGGCACGUAUAGUUUAAAAGUAUACAGAUGGAGAAGGUUAUACCAUGAUGACAUUAAUCAAAAGAAAGCUGAAAUAGCUACAUUACUUUCAGACAGAAAAUGCUUCAAAGCAAUGAAAUUUUCUGGGAUUUAAAAAGGGGCAGUGCUUGAUUUUAAAGGGAUUAACUCUCCAAGACGAUAUAACAAUCCUUAAUAGGUAUGCAUGUAAGUGCAGAGUAUCUGGAAUACACCAGGUAAAAACUGAUAACCACCUCAAGGAGAAAUCGCUGAAACAUUAUUGGAGGGUUCUGCAGAGGACAAAUCCAGAAGGCAGAAAAUCAGAGAGCACACAGUUGUGUUGGUACCAUCCAACAUGUUGAUAUAAUUGACAUGCAUAAAUUACUUUAUGCAACAAGUGCAGAAUAUACAUUCUUCCCAAGUUCCCAUGGAACGUUCACCAAGACAGACCAUGGGGGGGGGGGGGGCCGCACAUAAAGCAAUUCAAGACUAUAAAUCAUACAUUUUCUCUCAGACCCAUGAAAUUAAACCAGAAAUCAAUAGCAGAAAAUCAACCACAAAAUCUCAAAAUACUUUAGAGAUUAAACAAUGCACUUCUGAAUAAAACCCGGAUCCGGGCUGCGGCAGGCGGGAGCUGCGUGCUCCGCGUGCACAGGUGGAGAAGCAGCUGCACCAGUGUGGCAGCAGGAGACUGAAGGCUGUGCUGGACUUCCGCGGCCUCUGUCAUCCCUGCAGCUCUCUUCCCUAAGCGACGGCCAGCUCGUGGGGUUGAGUGGCCUGGGCUGAGCUUGUGGAGAGAUGAGGCAGCGAGAACCACCGGCUUUGAUAGCCCUAGUAACCAGCGUUAGCAGAUGCGGGAAGAUGAAAAGUAAUGGGAUGGAGCUAGGGGAUGGAACACCACGCCAUUUUGAACAGCUGAAGAGGUCAUCUUUCCAGUUAGCCACAAUGACAAGUUCUACAAGGAUGAGCUGGAGGUCGAAGAACUAGCAAAACUUGCCUGUUUCAAUGAUAUUGCUGUAGGUGCAGUAUGCUGCAGGGUGGAUCAUUCUCAGAAUCAGAAGGGACUUAACAUCAUAACACUAGAAUGUCUUGCACCUUAUUAAAGACUGGGAAUAGGAACUAAAAUAUUAAACCAUGUCUUAAACAUCUGAGGAAAAGAGGCAUUUUUGACAACAUCUAUCUGCACAUCCAAAUGAGCAAUGAGUCAGAAAUUGACUUCCAGGGGGAAGUUUGGCUUUGAGAUUAUUGAGACAGAAGAAAUUCUAUAAGAGGAUAGAACUUGCAGAUGCUCAUGUGCUUCAGAAAAACUUCAAACCUUCUGGUCAGAAUGCAGAUGCACAAAAAACUUAACAAAUUACAAAUGAACUUUUUUGCUGCCAAAUAAAAGAGAUCCAUUGAUGCCCUGCCCACACCCCCUUCCUAAGCUUUCCUUUCUCCUUGCUCUUGUUUUUCCUUUCUUUUCUUUCCAACAGAAGUUUUAAUACUUUCAGAGACUUUUAGGACUGAGGAUAUAGAUCAGUUGGUAGAGUGCUUGCCCUGCAUGCAUAAGUUCCUGGGUUCAAUCCCCAGCACCACAAAAGAAAAAAGGAAAUAAAUGUGUUGUGAUUUUUUUUUCCUCCUAUUCUUUUCCUUUGGUAAGCUUAAUAAUCUAAACUUAAAAAUGGAGUUAAUGUUCUUUUAAGUCAGUACCGCUAAAUCAACGUAUAACAGGUGUUUUCUCUUAGAAUAUUUAAAAAUAUCUAAAAGAAAAUUUAGAUGGACUUGUAGCACAAUAUAUGCAUUUAAUGUCAACUAAUGCAGUAUGGCCACUGAACAUUUCAGUGUAUAGGAAAGAAUAUCUAGAUAGUAUAUUCGAGAAUAACAUGACUAUGUUAUUGCUUAUCUAUUUCAGAACAUCCUAAAUUUUCUUAUACUCUGUGCCUACAAUAUUAAGUGAGGAUUUGGGAUAAAAGGAAUUGUUUUUUUUAAUUGAUUUUAUUUUUUUAAAUACAUGACAGCAGAAUGUAUUACAAUUCUUAUUACACAUAUAGAGCACAAUUUUUCAUAUCUCUGUUUGUAUAUAAAGUAGGGUGACACCCAAUUUGAAGGAGGAAUUAUUACAACAAAUUGCUUCUAGGAAAGACAGAAGCAUAAAGUGUUAAUUAUGCAAAUAUCAUCAUGACUUCUACUAAUAAGAAUGGUUUUUGUCUGAUCAUUUUCCAGCAUGUAGGGAGUAGCUUAAUAGGAUAAGAGACAUCUAAAAUACUCCUGUUUUCAAAAUCAAGCUUAAAAUGGAUCAAGGACCUAGGUAUUAGACCAGAAACCAUGCACAUACCAGAAGAAAAGGUAGUCACGACCCUCUAGCAUUCCAGCUCAUGAACUGACUUCCUUAAUAAGACUCCUAAAGCCCAAGAACUAAAAUCAAGAAUCAGAGGCUGGGUUGUAGCUUAGCAGUAGAGUGCUUGAUCCUCAGCACCACAUAAAAAUAAAUAAUUAAAAUAAAGAUAUUGUGUCUAACUACAACUAAAAAAAAAAGUCAAUAAAUGGGAUGGCAUCAAACUAAAAAACAUCUUCACAGCAAAGAAAAAAAUCAACAGCAUGAAGAAAGAGCCUAUUGAAUGGGAGAACAUCAUUGUCACCUGCAUCUCAGAUGAGCAUUAAUUUCCAGGCUAUAUAAAGAAGUCAAAAAACAUUAAAAAAAAAAUUCAAUAAACAAAUGGGCAAAGGAACUGAACAGACACUUCACAGAAGAAAUAUGAAUGGUCAAAAAAUAUAUGAAAAAAUGUUCAACUUUUCUAGCAAUUAGAGAAAUGCAAAUUAAAAUUACACUGAGAAUCUACCUCACUCCAAUCAGAAUGGCAACUAUAAGGAAUUCAAGUAAUGAUAAAUGUUGGCGAGGAUGUGGGGGGAAAGGUACACUCAUGCAUUGCUGGUGGGACUGCAAGUUGAUGCAACCACUCUGGAAUUUUCUGAGAUUCCUCAGAAAACUUGGAAUGGAACCACCAUUUACCCUAGUUAUCCCACUCCUGUAUAUACCCAAAGGAUUUAAAAUCAGCAUACUACAGUGAUACAGCCACAUCAAUGUUUAUAGCACCACUCACAAUAACUAAGCUAUUUAUAGCUCAACUCACAAUAGCUAAGCCAUGAAACAAACCUAGGUGGCCUUCAACAGAUGAAUGGAUAAUGUAUAUAUACACAAUAUAGUAUUACUCAGCCAUAAGAAUAAUGAUCUUAUGACAUUAGCUGGCAAGUGGAUGGAACUGGAGAUUCCCAUGCUGAGUGAAGUAAGCCAGUCCCAAAAAAAACCAAAGGUCAAAUGUUUUCUCUGAUAUGUGGAAGCUAACCCACAAUAAGGAGGCUGGUGAGGGGAAGGGAAGAACAGACAACAACAACAACAAAAAAAAAAAAAUGGUGGAGCCCUAAACCAAUAAGACAGGUGCUUUAUAAGAGUAGGAAAAAAAAAGAUAUCUUCCUCUCCUCUCUCCCUCCCCUUUAUCCUCUCUCUUUCCCCCUCCCCUUCCAUUGACACAAGACCAGACAAAAACAUAGUGAGAAGGUCCAUCUACUGUUGAGGAAGAAAGCCCUGGCCAGAAAGCAAACCAACCAGAACCUUGAUCUUGGACUUUCCUUCUCCAGAACUCUGAAAAAAUAUAUAUAUUUUGUUUGUUUGUUUGUUUGAGCUACCCAGUCUGUGGUCUUUUGUUAUAGCAGUCUAGGCAAACUAAGAUGGAUUUUGGAACCAGUGUGGAAUGUUAUUUUACCACAUGCCAAAAUUGUAGAUGAGACUUUGGAACUGGGUUGAGGCUGGAAGAAUUUGCAGUACAUACUAGAAAAGCUGAGAUUGGCUUGAAGGUGUUGUUGGUAGUAAUAUAGAUGCUUAAGACAGUUCUGGUGAAGGUCCAAGAAGACAAGAGGAAAGCUAUAGGCAAAGCCUCUAUCAUCAUAUGUAAUCAUGAGCAAAAGAUCGAUUUAAAAACGGACAUCACAGACCAUUGUGAUAAGGUCUCAGAUGAACAUGUGGAAUAUUUUAUUGUAAAUGGAGGAGAAGGGAUCCUUACAAUAAAUUCUGCAAGCCAAGAAAAAAGAGUAUUACGGAGAAGCAAAUCAUCCUGCCCCUUGAUCUAGGGCCAUGAACUUCCAGAAGUGUGAUAAAAAAUAAAAUUAAAUUAAAAUUAAAAAAGAAUUUUUGUUAUCUAAACCAUUCAUUCUACUGAGUUUUGUUAUGGCAACCUGGAGAAGUCAAUCGGUUUCGCCACGGCUCCAGGUUACAAAGUCUCUAAUGAGGCCAUGAAGCCCGGAACCUUCUUCCUGCUGCCCUCGGGGAUGCUGGUUCUGACCAGGACCUGGCGAGUUGAGUGCGGAGUCAGGAGGGAAAUGAUCUCUUCUCAAGAGGAAUGAAGGGACCACUCUGCAGAGUAGGACAGUGUCUCAGCCACCUCCGGCCCAGUCCUCUCCUCUACCUCGUCAACUCCUUGUUCUGAGCCCAGCCCCGCCUCCUCUUCUCCAGUCUCAGAGUCUGGCCCUUCUGAUCUCAUUGCCCCUUUCAGUCUCAGGAGCGCCCAUGCCUCCUCCUGCUCUCCCACCAACCUGGGACUCGGGGUCCCGCUACCUACGGGAGGACGGAGGACCAUCGGGAGGAUCGGGAGGAUCGAGGACCAUGGUGACAGGUCUCAGCCCCUCCCCGCCCCCAAGCUCCCGCCCGCUGAGGUAUUUCUGCACCGCCAUGACCCCACCUGGUCGCAGGGAGCCCGGUUUCAGGGCUUUCCGCUACUUGGAUGACCCACAAUGACUUGCGAGUCCCAGAGAGGUGCCCGCGGACCAAGCGGAAGGGCCAGAAUAUUGGGACCGGCAGACCCAAUGCACAAAUUUUGUGAGUGAAUUUGCGGGCCUUUCUGACGCCGGUGAGUGAUCCCGGACCCAGAUCAUAAGUCACAACCUGUCCCCAUCCUCCGUUAAGUGGCCUGGACCUCCCAAUCUUAGGAACGACCCAAGUCUGUGAGAUUUGUUCGGAUUUCCAGUCGGUUUGGCGCGAAAGGCCCUAACCAGUCAUCGCCCAUCUUUCUUCCAGGGGGCGGGGCUAAGUGUGAGGGACCCCCCCCCCCCAGACCAGUGCAGCUGAUUGCUAGAUCCUGGCUAGGGUUCCACACCAUCCGGUCUAUGCUUGGCUGCUACACCCCAGCGGUACUUACAAGACUGCCUACAAUGGCACCGAUUAUAUCUCCCUGAACAAGGACCUGCGCUCCUGGACUGAAGCAAACAAUGUGGCUCUGAUCACCCAGCACAAAGAUAAAGGGCCUAUCUAGAAGUUACAGGCAUGGAGGGGCUCUACCUGAACGACAGGAAGGAGAUGCUAUGUGUACAGGUACUAGGGGCAGCAGGUCACCUCCUGGAUCUCUUUGCUGACCUCUCACAAGGAGUGAAAAAUGGAACCUAUGCUACUAUACCGCCCACCCUCUGGUUCACACUAGAUGAGUUCGCCUGAGUUUCUGAAUGCUGUAUCAGAGAGCUACUCUGAGGGCCCAACUUUCUCUGAGAAUUAAUGGAGGCAGUCUCCCUUUUCAGGGUUGGAGGGGAAGACAAUCCCUGAGAUAACUGAUCAGCAGUUCCCUUUAAUUCUGGCAGCAAACGGGAUCAUGGGGUGGAGGCAAUCCCAAAUGCUUUUGUUUUGUACCAGGAAUCGAACUCAGGGGCACUCAACCACUGAGCCACAUCCCCAGCCCUAUUUUGUAUUUUAUUUAGAGACAGGGUCUCC
Molecule: long non-coding RNA, 6710 nt
Filed under: Marmota monax (woodchuck)
Lineage: Eukaryota; Metazoa; Chordata; Mammalia; Rodentia; Sciuridae
Source: RNAcentral